CGUGUAGGCGGCCUUUUAAGUCAGACGUGAAAUCCAUGGGCUUAACCCAUGAAUUGCGUUUGAAACUGGAGGGCUUGAGGAUCGGAGAGGGCAGUGGAAUUCCCAGUGUAGCGGUGAAAUGCGUAGAUAUUGGGAGGAACACCAGUGGCGAAGGCGACUGCCUGGACGACACCUGACGCUGAGGCGCGAAAGCUAGGGGAGCAAACGGGAUUAGAUACCCCGGUAGUCCUAGCCGUAAACGAUGGGUACUAGGUGUGGGAGGUAUCGACCCCUUCCGUGCCGCAGUUAACACAAUAAGUACCCCGCCUGGGGAUACGGCCGCAAGGUUGAA
Molecule: ribosomal RNA, 331 nt
Filed under: uncultured bacterium
Lineage: Bacteria
Description: bacterial SSU rRNA
Rfam family: Bacterial small subunit ribosomal RNA
Source: RNAcentral